UACGUAGGGGGCUAGCGUUGUCCGGAAUCAUUGGGCGUAAAGAGCGUGUAGGCGGUCCGGUAAGUCCGUUGUGAAAGUCAGGGGCUCAACCCUUGAAUGCCGGCGGAUACUGUCGGGCUAGAGUCCGGAAGAGGCAAGUGGAAUUCCCGGUGUAGCGGUGAAAUGCGCAGAUAUCGGGAGGAACACCGAUGGCGAAGGCAGAUCUCUGGGCCGUAACUGACGCUGAGGAGCGAAAGCGUGGGGAGCGAACAGG
RNAcentral lists this ribosomal RNA (253 nucleotides) under uncultured bacterium. RNAcentral describes it as "partial 16S ribosomal RNA". It matches the Rfam family "Bacterial small subunit ribosomal RNA", at positions 524 to 776 of the family's 1533-position model. The record is from RNAcentral.